AUUGAACGCUGGCGGCAGGCCUAACACAUGCAAGUCGAGCGGCAGCGGGAAAGUAGCUUGCUACUUUUGCCGGCGAGCGGCGGACGGGUGAGUAAUGCCUGGGAAAUUGCCCAGUCGAGGGGGAUAACAGUUGGAAACGACUGCUAAUACCGCAUACGCCCUACGGGGGAAAGUAGGGGACCUUCGGGCCUUGCGCGAUUGGAUAUGCCCAGGUGGGAUUAGCUAGUUGGUGAGGUAAUGGCUAACGAAGGCGACGAUCCCUAGCUGGUCUGAGAGGAUGAUCAGCCACACUGGAACUGAGACACGGUCCAGACUCCUACGGGAGGCAGCAGUGGGGAAUAUUGCACAAUGGGGGAAACCCUGAUUCAGCCAUGCCGCGUGUGUGAAGAAGGCCUUCGGGUUGUAAAGCACUUUCAGCGAGGAGGAAAGGUUGAUGCCUAAUACGUAUCAACUGUGACGUUACUCGCAGGAGAAGCACCGGCUAACUCCGUGCCAGCCGCCGCGGUAA
Molecule: ribosomal RNA, 508 nt
Filed under: uncultured bacterium
Lineage: Bacteria
Description: partial 16S ribosomal RNA
Rfam family: Bacterial small subunit ribosomal RNA
Source: RNAcentral